Pantherophis guttatus is the source of this 177-nucleotide long non-coding RNA. RefSeq lists it as uncharacterized. NCBI's taxonomy places the organism in Eukaryota, Metazoa, Chordata, Lepidosauria, Squamata, Colubridae. The record is from RefSeq and is a predicted model, not a curated record.
AAAGCAUCAUCAUUUCAGUCCUGAUGUCAGCCAAAGUCCUUCCAGGCUUAACUGAGCUGCAGAGUAUUUCAGUCCCAUGGACAAGAAGCAAAUUGGAUACACUCAAAGUAAUAAAGAUAAAUGAUCCCUUUGUGUGGCAUCCUUUCUGGAAGAAAAGGCAGUAAACAAUGAACAAGC